Molecule: non-coding RNA, 331 nt
Organism: Pocillopora verrucosa
Lineage: Eukaryota; Metazoa; Cnidaria; Anthozoa; Scleractinia; Pocilloporidae
Source: RefSeq, a predicted model, not a curated record
AACAAACCUUGCCAACGUCCUGAAAGUCGACACGAUGCACAAGAGAAUGGUGUUUGCUAUACUUAUGUUGUCUCUUCUUCUCAUAGACAACAGCUUUGGAAUUGGAAUGUUUUGCACUAAAAAAGAUCCCAGACCGAACUGUAAGAAAAGGCUGGUCAGAAGACAGAUAUGUUCGAUUGCCCGACGCAUGGACUGUGAAAAAGUUCGACGUGACCACCCUGAAGAUGAUGGAAGCUUAGGAUCUCAGCAGACUUGGAACUUUUAACUAUGUUUGAUGUAAAUCAUAUGGGAAAAGCGUAAGACAAUUAAAAAAAGUUACGUUUGAGCGAUA